Molecule: ribosomal RNA, 491 nt
Filed under: uncultured bacterium
Lineage: Bacteria
Description: partial 16S ribosomal RNA
Rfam family: Bacterial small subunit ribosomal RNA
Source: RNAcentral
AGUGAACGCUGGCGGUAGGCCUAACACAUGCAAGUCGAACGGCAGCACAGUAAGAGCUUGCUCUUACGGGUGGCGAGUGGCGGACGGGUGAGGAAUACAUCGGAAUCUACUUUUUCGUGGGGGAUAACGUAGGGAAACUUACGCUAAUACCGCAUACGACCUACGGGUGAAAGCAGGGGAUCUUCGGACCUUGCGCGAUUGAAUGAGCCGAUGUCGGAUUAGCUAGUUGGCGGGGUAAAGGCCCACCAAGGCGACGAUCCGUAGCUGGUCUGAGAGGAUGAUCAGCCACACUGGAACUGAGACACGGUCCAGACUCCUACGGGAGGCAGCAGUGGGGAAUAUUGGACAAUGGGCGCAAGCCUGAUCCAGCCAUACCGCGUGGGUGAAGAAGGCCUUCGGGUUGUAAAGCCCUUUUGUUGGGAAAGAAAACAGCAGGUUAAUACCCCGCUGUUCUGACGGUACCCAAAGAAUAAGCACCGGCUAACUUCGUG